RNAcentral lists this transfer RNA (69 nucleotides) under Plecturocebus cupreus (coppery titi). RNAcentral describes it as "tRNA-Ala". It matches the Rfam family "tRNA". Rfam says of the family: Transfer RNA (tRNA) molecules are approximately 80 nucleotides in length. Their secondary structure includes four short double-helical elements and three loops (D, anti-codon, and T loops). Further hydrogen bonds mediate the characteristic L-shaped molecular structure. tRNAs have two regions of fundamental functional importance: the anti-codon, which is responsible for specific mRNA codon recognition, and the 3' end, to which the tRNAs corresponding amino acid is attached (by aminoacyl-tRNA synthetases). tRNAs cope with the degeneracy of the genetic code in two manners: having more than one tRNA (with a specific anti-codon) for a particular amino acid; and 'wobble' base-pairing, i.e. permitting non-standard base-pairing at the 3rd anti-codon position. The record is from RNAcentral. Lineage: Eukaryota; Metazoa; Chordata; Mammalia; Primates; Pitheciidae. RNAcentral also lists the same sequence under 1 other name.
AAGGGCUUAGCUUAAUAAAAGCAACUGAUUUGCGUUCAGUAGAUGUAAUGUAGAGUUUUGCAGUCCUUA